RNAcentral lists this ribosomal RNA (20 nucleotides) under Camarosporidiella celtidis. RNAcentral describes it as "partial 28S ribosomal RNA". The record is from RNAcentral. Lineage: Eukaryota; Fungi; Ascomycota; Dothideomycetes; Pleosporales.
CUCUGACCUCGGAUCAGGUA